Molecule: unclassified non-coding RNA, 275 nt
Filed under: uncultured Actinomycetes bacterium
Lineage: Bacteria; Bacillati; Actinomycetota; Actinomycetes
Description: uncultured actinobacterium contains 16S-23S intergenic spacer region
Source: RNAcentral
UCCGGUUUGUCACCGGCAGUCUGGCGUGAGUCCCCAACUUAAUGCUGGCAACGCGCCACGGGGGUUGCGCUCGUUGCGGGACUUAACCCAACAUCUCACGACACGAGCUGACGACAACCAUGCACCACCUGUGCACGGCCCUUACGGACCCCGCAUCUCUGCGAGAUUUCCGUGCAUGUCAAGCCUAGGUAAGGUUCUUCGCGUUGCAUCGAAUUAAGCAACAUGCUCCGCCGCUUGUGCGGGCCCCCGAAGGAGCACCGUGUUUCCACGGUUUC